Drosophila melanogaster (fruit fly) is the source of this 625-nucleotide non-coding RNA. The record is from Ensembl. NCBI's taxonomy places the organism in Eukaryota, Metazoa, Arthropoda, Insecta, Diptera, Drosophilidae.
GCUUUCUCGUGUUUAUGCUUCGAUUUUAUUUCGCCGUUGUAAUUUUUCCGGGGAAUUUUAGUUUUGGUUUUAUUGCCGAGCAUUGAUACAUUAUAUUGGCUGAAUGAUUGAUGAUUAAGCGGCUUGCUGAAAUGCAGAAACAUGAACUACAUCAAGAAAUACAAAAUCCCGAAUUGAACAUUUAUCUGUUCUGCAGACCAUGGCCAUUAUUUUGAAGUACAACUUUUUGCUUUCCACAUUUAUUCAAAAUUAUGCGACACCUGAGAUUAAAGUGGAUAAGUUGUCACAAGAAUUCCAGCAGCUGUCAAAUAAGUUGGAAAAUAUGUCAACUGCAUGUGCGAGGCUCUGAAUUCGGAUGCCUGUGAAUUUGCCAACAUGAUUGAUGUUUUUUGCCGGAUGACAUACGGUGAUCGAAAAAGAACAUUUCCAUUUAUUCAAGAGUACACGUAUGUAUGGUAGUUUUUAUUUUUAUUGGCCAACCGUGUGGAGAACUUUAAUACUUUGAAGAACAAUUGGAUUUGGUUGCGUUUAAUUUGCAAAAUUGAUGGCAUUCGACGUUUACUUUGUACAAUCAACAGGCUCAAUGCAAUUUUAAUGCGUUAACCGAAUUAAAUAGGCCAGCUCG